RNAcentral lists this ribosomal RNA (609 nucleotides) under uncultured bacterium. RNAcentral's name for it is "bacterial SSU rRNA". It matches the Rfam family "Bacterial small subunit ribosomal RNA", at positions 338 to 949 of the family's 1533-position model. The record is from RNAcentral.
CCUACGGGAGGCAGCAGUAAGGAAUAUUGGUCAAUGGGCGCAAGCCUGAACCAGCCAUGCCGCGUGCAGGAAGACGGCCCUAUGGGUUGUAAACUGCUUUUGAACAAGAGAAAACCUCGGUACGUGUACCGAGCUGAUAGUAUUGUUAGAAUAAGCAUCGGCUAACUUCGUGCCAGCAGCCGCGGUAAGACGAAGGAUGCAAGCGUUAUCCGGAUUCAUUGGGUUUAAAGGGUGCGUAGGCGGCCUGAUAAGUCAGUGGUGAAAUCUCUCAGCUUAACUGAGAAACUGCCAUUGAUACUGUCGGGCUUGAGUACAGAUGAUGUGGGCGGAAUAUGACAUGUAGUGGUGAAAUACUUAGAUAUGUCAUAGAACACCGAUUGCGAAGGCAGCUCACAAAACUGUAACUGACGCUGAGGCACGAAAGUGCGGGGAUCAAACAGGAUUAGAUACCCUGGUAGUCCGCACCGUAAACGAUGAUUACUCGUUGUUGGCAAUAUGACCGUCAGCGACCAAGCGAAAGCGAUAAGAAUCCACCUGGGGAGUACGCCGCGACGGUGAAACUANAGAGUAGUUAGACGNGNGAGNGCGACGAGCACGACGGAGGGUUAG